RNAcentral lists this ribosomal RNA (402 nucleotides) under bacterium. RNAcentral's name for it is "partial 16S ribosomal RNA". It matches the Rfam family "Bacterial small subunit ribosomal RNA", at positions 355 to 776 of the family's 1533-position model. The record is from RNAcentral.
UGGGGAAUUUUGCACAAUGGGGGAAACCCUGAUGCAGCGACGCCGCGUGAUUUAGAAGGCCUUCGGGUUGUAAAAAUCUUUUCUAUGGGAAGAAAAUGACAGUACCAUAGGAAUAAGGACCGGCUAAUCACGUGCCAGCAGCCGCGGUAAUACGUAAGGUCCGAGCGUUGUCCGGAAUCAUUGGGCGUAAAGGGUACGUAGGCGGGUAAGCAAGUUAGAAGUGAAAUCCUAUAGCUCAACUAUAGUAAGCUUUUAAAACUGCUCAUCUUGAGGUAUGGAAGGGAAAGUGGAAUUCCUAGUGUAGCGGUGAAAUGCGCAGAUAUUAGGAGGAAUACCGGUGGCGAAGGCGACUUUCUGGCCAUACCCUGACGCUGAGGUACGAAAGCGUGGGUAGCAAACAGG